Molecule: long non-coding RNA, 527 nt
Filed under: Bos taurus (domestic cattle)
Lineage: Eukaryota; Metazoa; Chordata; Mammalia; Artiodactyla; Bovidae
Description: long non-coding RNA NONBTAT011700
Source: RNAcentral
AUUUAUUUAUCUAGAACCCAGACUCCUCACUCUGAGUUUCCUAUUUGCCAGAUAGAAUUCAAUCCCCCGUUCGAUGCUUGCCCAGAAGCUGUCUGAUUGUUAUUUUCAGCAACGGGCUUAAGUGCCAGCUGUUCAGGCAGUGUUUGGUGCAAGCACCCUUGGGUUCGUUUCAUCUUUCCACUGCUGCUCAGAAUUCCCUUUGAGAACUCUAAGUGUCAACAGGCACGAUCAUUAUCUGAGUCACCUGAUACGAUACAAGAAGAGAUGUCACACGAGCUGCCAAACAGGACACAUUAUUGCCAGGCUGUGUGCCCUGAGGGAGGCGACCAGGGCAAUCCAAGCAGAUGGUCUAUGAGCUCUGACAGCCAAAAGCUUUCACAGGGGCAUCAAAGUCACGAGUGAGCUGAAUCUUCAGCACCGAUCAAGGAAACACCAGCCGCCCUCUUUGCUGAGAGGAGAAGAAAGAAUUAGCCCUUCUCUGGGCCUGAAGUGGACUUGAACUUGUCCAAGGAUACUGAAAGCUUGGG